Molecule: ribosomal RNA, 614 nt
Filed under: uncultured archaeon
Lineage: Archaea
Description: bacterial SSU rRNA
Rfam family: Archaeal small subunit ribosomal RNA
Source: RNAcentral
AGUCAACAUGCCCAGGGGACGUGGAUAACCUCGGGAAACUGAGGAUAAACCGCGACAGGCCAAGAUUUCUGGAAUGAAUCAUGGUUUAAAUCUAUAUGGCCCCUGGAUUGGACUGCGGCCGAUCAGGCUGUUGGUGAGGGAAUGGCCCACCAAACCUGUAACCGGUACGGGCUCUGAGAGGAGGAGCCCGGAGAUGGGCACUUAGACAGGGGCCCAGGCCCUAUGGGGCGCAGCAGGCGCGAAACCUCUGCAAUAAGCGAAAGCUUGACAGGGUUACUCUGAGUGAUUUCCGCUAAGGAAGUCUUUUGGCACCUCUAAAAAUGGUGCAGAAUAAGGGGUGGGCAAGUCUGGUGUCAGCCGCCGCGGUAAUACCAGCACCCCGAGUGGUCGGGACGUUUAUUGGGCCUAAAGCAUCCGUAGCCGGUUCUACAAGUCUUCCGUUAAAUCCACCUGCUUAACAGAUGGGCUGCGGAAGAUACUAUGGAGCUAGGAGGCGGGAGAGGCAAGCGGUACUCGAUGGGUAGGGGUAAAAUCCGUUGAUCCAUUGAAGACCACCAGUGGCGAAGGCGGCUUGCCAGAACGCGCUCGACGGUGAGGGAUGAAAGCUGGGGGAG